Long non-coding RNA from Drosophila subpulchrella, 683 nucleotides. RefSeq lists it as uncharacterized. NCBI's taxonomy places the organism in Eukaryota, Metazoa, Arthropoda, Insecta, Diptera, Drosophilidae. The transcript has 3 exons. The record is from RefSeq and is a predicted model, not a curated record.
GGCCCAGGCGCUUUGUCUGCCCUUUUGUGUUUUUGUUUUUGUGCCCUCGACAAGUGGAAAUUAAACACGCACCCAGUACACCCUUACUCCCCUACACCAACACCCACCCACACCCACACCAUCCCACGUCCAUUUCCGUUUUGGCUGAUCAUUGGCAUAAGCAAGCACACACGUACACAUGCACAGCUAGCCGUUCGCCAUUUUGACUGUCUGUCUGUUCCUUGCUUGUGGUUUUCCCCGAUUUUCGUCUGCCUCCUUUAUUUCUUCUUUAUUCUUUAUUUUAUGCCGCUCUUUUGUCCGAAGCGUAGGCAAGUGAAGAUAAACGUGUGUCCUGUAUGAAGCUUAAAGGUGCUGAAGGUGGACCAGGCGACGGAGGAGCAACAGCCUCGGCAUUCGAAGGAGUCACAUCCUACGGCCACAUCCACAUCCUCUGACUGAGGAAUGAAGGUGUCUCAUGCGAGGUGAGCUGGAAAUGGCCCCAUUUGGCUGGGCGCUGGGAAAUGGGGGGGAAACCACUUAAACCGCUCGACUAACUGGCGACAGUCGCACGGCUCUGCCCGCUAAUUAACAACAACAUAAUGCUUAUCCACAGGGGCGGGGUGGGAAACAACAACUUGACAUUUAUAUUAAAAUUAAUUAAUUUAUUUGUUUCAUAUUAUAUAAAUUACAUUUAGAGCUUGGCA